UGCAUCCACUUCUUUUCCAACUCUAGAGAGUUCUCCAAGAAGGAAGAACUCUUAUUUUCAACAAAUGAAGAUAGAGAGAAGUAACGAGAAAGAAAUUGAGGGAGAGAUUAAAGGGUCAAGGUUGGUGAUUAUUCAAGUUUAUGGCAGCAAGGAUGGGUCCAUUAAAGAAGCAAAAACAUUUUUGACCAAGCCCUCAAGUUUUCAAGCAAAUUAUGUCAUAAAAGCCUAAGGUAUGAGGCAGCAUAUACAUGUUGUGUGUGGAUAAACACUAAAGAGAUAUUUCCUACUCUGGUGUUAUGAUGUGCUGUGGCGCCAAUGACAGGAGGGCGACCACGUUUUGUUCACCGAGUCCCAUGAAAUAGGGCCGGAUACGGCAUAUGUAUUUGCAUAUAUGAUUUGGGAUUAUGAUAAGUAUUUUGAAAUUCUGAACAUUUAUUUCGUUUUCUGCACAUACUAUUCCGAUUAUGAUUUUAAUUUAUUGUAAUUCAUGCUUUACAUAUUCGGUACAUUUUUCGUACUGACCCCCUUUCUUCGGGGGCUGCGUUACAUGCCCGCAGGUACCGAAGUUCGAUUUGCUGAUCCACCUGUUUAGGAUAUUUACUGCGUCGUUGACAGUGCUCCCUUGUUCGGAGCUUGUAUUUUGGUACUGACUUUAUCUCUGUAUAUUUGGAUAUUUUGGUCAGGGGUACGACGGGGCCCUGUCCCGUCAUAUGACUAUGCUAUCAUCUGUAGAGGUCUGUAGACAUAGUUAUGUUGUGGGUUUUGUAUAUAUGUUUUGGGUUGAGUGUGUUUCGUGAUGGCCUAUUGGC
This is a long non-coding RNA of Solanum dulcamara, 809 nucleotides long. RefSeq lists it as uncharacterized. The transcript has 3 exons. NCBI's taxonomy places the organism in Eukaryota, Viridiplantae, Streptophyta, Magnoliopsida, Solanales, Solanaceae. The record is from RefSeq and is a predicted model, not a curated record.